ACAGAGGGAAACCAACUAUAUGGUUGGUUACCCGAAAUCCUGUAUUCACCCCAAGUUCCUUUAAAACUUUUUAAUAAAACUUGUAAAAGACCACCUCAGUUGGUGGCUCAUAAUACAUACGA
RNAcentral lists this unclassified non-coding RNA (122 nucleotides) under uncultured fungus. RNAcentral's name for it is "sequence contains ITS1". The record is from RNAcentral. Lineage: Eukaryota; Fungi.